AGUGAACGCUGGCGGUAGGCCUAACACAUGCAAGUCGAACGGCAGCACAGGAGAGCUUGCUCUCUGGGUGGCGAGUGGCGGACGGGUGAGGAAUACAUCGGAAUCUACUCUGUCGUGGGGGAUAACGUAGGGAAACUUACGCUAAUACCGCAUACGACCUACGGGUGAAAGCAGGGGAUCUUCGGACCUUGCGCGAGUGAAUGAGCCGAUGUCGGAUUAGCUAGUUGGCGGGGUAAAGGCCCACCAAGGCGACGAUCCGGAACUGGUCUGAGAGGAUAAUCAGCCACACUGGAACUGAGACACGGUCCAGACUACUACGGGAGGCAGCAGUGGGGAAUAUUGGACAAUGGGCGCAAGCCUGAUCCAUCCAUACCGCGUGGGUGAAGAAGGCCUUCGGGUUGUAAAGCCCUUUUGUUGGGAAAGAAAUCCAGCUGGCUAAUACCCGGUUGGGAUGACGGUACCCAAAGAAUAAGCACCGGCUAACUUCGUGCCAGCAGCCGCCGUAA
This 506-nucleotide ribosomal RNA is filed under the name uncultured bacterium. RNAcentral describes it as "partial 16S ribosomal RNA". It matches the Rfam family "Bacterial small subunit ribosomal RNA", at positions 29 to 523 of the family's 1533-position model. The record is from RNAcentral.